ACUGGAUUAUUUGAGGCCCUCUGUCUGAGGUGAGGCCCGCCUCAGUCCUCCCUCAGCGUCUUACCUUGCCUCCUCACCGAGCCUGGGCCGGCUUCCCUCCGCCGACGUCAGGCCGUCGCUCGUUGCUCAGGGCGAGAAUCUCGCGGUCUUCUGACCUCCAAUGCGCAAGUCAGUGGCGUCACAUCCUGGCAACGGUACUACCCUGGGUUCCGGGCAGGGGUGGAACUGGAUUCUGCCUGGAUGGGGAUCGGAUGGGGGUGGAGGUUUGAUUUGGGAAGCAGAGCACAGCAGCCCAAAUUUGUUGUAAUGGCGGCGGCUACAGGUACCCUUGUGACUAUGAAGAUUGACAAAAAGUUGACGGCAACGAUGAAUUCUCUUCCAGAACUUACAUCCCAGAAGGCCCUCCCCUACUUCGGGUCUCCCUAGAGAGUGGAGAGACCUGCUGCCCUUGAAGAAGCAAACAGCCAUGUUGUGAGCUGCCUAAGCCUCUAGGUCUUGAGGGAAGCUUACAGUUAAGAGCCAGCAAAAGCCAGGGCCCUCAGUCAUGCCACACAAGGAAACGAAUCCUGCCAGCAACUAUGGGGGCUUGGAAGAGGAUAUUAAGCUUCAGUUGAGAAUGCAGCCUGACUGACACCAUCAUUGCAGCCUUGUGAGACCCCAAUCAGAGGACCCAGCUGAGCUGUACCCAGACUCCUAACCCACGGAAACUGAGAAAAUAAAUGUGUGCUAUUUAUAGCUGCU
This 741-nucleotide long non-coding RNA is filed under the name Homo sapiens (human). RNAcentral's name for it is "HSALNT0287474". Lineage: Eukaryota; Metazoa; Chordata; Mammalia; Primates; Hominidae. The record is from RNAcentral.